Molecule: non-coding RNA, 91 nt
Organism: Trichophaea hybrida
Lineage: Eukaryota; Fungi; Ascomycota; Pezizomycetes; Pezizales; Pyronemataceae
Source: the annotation of a GenBank genome assembly
GGUCGCUUAGCUCAGUCGGUUAGAGCGUGGUGCUAAUAGCGUAUAAAGCUAGAACACGCCAAUGUCGCAGGUUCGACCCCUGCAGUGAUCA